Molecule: ribosomal RNA, 590 nt
Filed under: Thermoleptolyngbya oregonensis NK1-26
Lineage: Bacteria; Bacillati; Cyanobacteriota; Cyanophyceae; Oculatellales; Oculatellaceae
Description: bacterial SSU rRNA
Rfam family: Bacterial small subunit ribosomal RNA
Source: RNAcentral
CGGCUGCUAAUACCCGAUGUGCCGAGAGGUGAAACAUUUAUGGCCUGAGGAUGAGCUCGCGUCUGAUUAGCUAGUUGGUGGGGUAAGAGCCUACCAAGGCGACGAUCAGUAGCUGGUCUGAGAGGAUGAUCAGCCACACUGGGACUGAGACACGGCCCAGACUCCUACGGGAGGCAGCAGUGGGGAAUUUUCCGCAAUGGGCGCAAGCCUGACGGAGCAAGACCGCGUGCGGGAGGACGGCCUAUUGGUUGUAAACCGCUUUUGAUAGGGAAGAAGCUCUGACGGUACCUAUCGAAUCAGCAUCGGCUAACUCCGUGCCAGCAGCCGCGGUAAUACGGAGGAUGCAAGCGUUAUCCGGAAUUAUUGGGCGUAAAGCGUCCGUAGGUGGUUGUUCAAGUCUGCUGUUAAAGCGUGCGGCUUAACCGCAUACCAGCAGUGGAAACUGGACGACUAGAGUGCGGUAGGGGUCAGGGGAAUUCCCAGUGUAGCGGUGAAAUGCGUAGAUAUUGGGAAGAACACCGGUGGCGAAAGCGCCUGACUGGACCUGCACUGACACUGAGGGACGAAAGCUAGGGGAGCGAAAGGGAUUA